Molecule: ribosomal RNA, 1170 nt
Filed under: Klebsiella aerogenes
Lineage: Bacteria; Pseudomonadati; Pseudomonadota; Gammaproteobacteria; Enterobacterales; Enterobacteriaceae
Description: bacterial LSU rRNA
Rfam family: Bacterial large subunit ribosomal RNA
Source: RNAcentral
ACUGCGAAGGGGGGACGGAGAAGGCUAUGUUGGCCGGGCGACGGUUGUCCCGGUUUAAGCAUGUAGGCGGAGGUUCCAGGUAAAUCCGGUACCUUUUAACGCUGAGGUGUGAUGACGAGGCACUACGGUGCUGAAGUAACAAAUGCCCUGCUUCCAGGAAAAGCCUCUAAGCAUCAGGUAACACGAAAUCGUACCCCAAACCGACACAGGUGGUCAGGUAGAGAAUACCAAGGCGCUUGAGAGAACUCGGGUGAAGGAACUAGGCAAAAUGGUGCCGUAACUUCGGGAGAAGGCACGCUGGCAUGUAGGUGAAGCGGUUUACCCGUGGAGCUGAAGCCAGUCGAAGAUACCAGCUGGCUGCAACUGUUUAUUAAAAACACAGCACUGUGCAAACACGAAAGUGGACGUAUACGGUGUGACGCCUGCCCGGUGCCGGAAGGUUAAUUGAUGGGGUUAGCGGCAACGCGAAGCUCUUGAUCGAAGCCCCGGUAAACGGCGGCCGUAACUAUAACGGUCCUAAGGUAGCGAAAUUCCUUGUCGGGUAAGUUCCGACCUGCACGAAUGGCGUAAUGAUGGCCAGGCUGUCUCCACCCGAGACUCAGUGAAAUUGAAAUCGCUGUGAAGAUGCAGUGUACCCGCGGCAAGACGGAAAGACCCCGUGAACCUUUACUAUAGCUUGACACUGAACACUGGUCCUUGAUGUGUAGGAUAGGUGGGAGGCUUCGAAGCGUGGACGCCAGUCUGCGUGGAGCCGUCCUUGAAAUACCACCCUUUAAUGGCUGGUGUUCUAACGUGGGCCCGUAAUCCGGGUUGCGGACAGUGUCUGGUGGGUAGUUUGACUGGGGCGGUCUCCUCCUAAAGCGUAACGGAGGAGCACGAAGGUUGGCUAAUCCUGGUCGGACAUCAGGAGGUUAGUGCAAUGGCAUAAGCCAGCUUGACUGCGAGCGUGACGGCGCGAGCAGGUGCGAAAGCAGGUCAUAGUGAUCCGGUGGUUCUGAAUGGAAGGGCCAUCGCUCAACGGAUAAAAGGUACUCCGGGGAUAACAGGCUGAUACCGCCCAAGAGUUCAUAUCGACGGCGGUGUUUGGCACCUCGAUGUCGGCUCAUCACAUCCUGGGGCUGAAGUAGGUCCCAAGGGUAUGGCUGUUCGCCAUUUAAAGUGGUACGCGAG